GAUGAAGAACGCAGCGAAAUGCGAUAAGUAAUGUGAAUUGCAGAGUUCAGUGAAUCAUCGAAUCUUUGAACGCACAUGGCGCCUUCCAGUAUCCUGGGAGGCAUGCCUGUCCGAGCGUCGUUUCAACCCUCGAGCCCCCGUGGCCCGGCGUUGGGGAUCUGCCACGGCAGGCCCCUAAAACCAGUGGCGGACCCGAAGGCCCUCUCCUUUGCGCAGUAGCAUCAGCCUCGCAUUGGGAUCCCUCGGCGUCCUGCCUCUAAACCCCCCACAAGUCCGCUCCGGCGGCACCAAGGUUGACCUCGGAUCAGGUAGGAAUACCCGCUGAACUUAAGCAUAUCAAUAAGCGGAGGA
RNAcentral lists this unclassified non-coding RNA (351 nucleotides) under soil metagenome. Its description in RNAcentral is "partial contains 5.8S ribosomal RNA, internal transcribed spacer 2, and large subunit ribosomal RNA". The stretch from base 1 to 120 matches the Rfam family "5.8S ribosomal RNA", at positions 35 to 154 of the family's 154-position model. The record is from RNAcentral.